Long non-coding RNA from Salvelinus fontinalis (brook trout), 3418 nucleotides. RefSeq lists it as uncharacterized. The transcript has 2 exons. Lineage: Eukaryota; Metazoa; Chordata; Actinopteri; Salmoniformes; Salmonidae. The record is from RefSeq and is a predicted model, not a curated record.
CAGCGGUCAAGGAUGAGUUGAUGAGCGAGGUGAGGUAAGGGAGAAGGUCUCCGGAAAUGGUCUGGAGAAGAGAGGAGGGGAUAGGGUCAAGCGGGCAGGUUGUUGGGCGGCCGGCCGUCACAAGACGCGAGAUUUCAUCUGGAGAGAGAGGGGAGAAAGAGGUCAAAGCACAGGGUAGGGCAGUGUGACCUUGACCUUCACUGUCAUGGAGAGACAGACUAAUCUCUUGCUCUGUUGGUGAAGACUGUUGUCUGUUGACUAUGAGUGGCGUGUGAUGUUGUCCAUUUAGGUCCAACGUUGUGAGUUACAGCUCUACUUGGCGUUAGCCCGGUCCCAGAUCUGGUUGAGAUUUGGCCUACUCCUCCGUUGUCAUCGUUGGCAUGACAACUCCAGGAGGAGUCGGCAGAAGCAGACUGGCACCCAGGCUAUCUUGGUGUGGAACACAAUGUACUCUGACAGUGGUGCCACUGCCUUGACCUGGAUAGAUCACACAGUCAGGGUGCUGCGCAGUAGGAGGAGGUCAAAGGGCGGUGAAUGAAGUGGACAGCAGAGCCAUAUAUUUAGAAAAGCUCAGCCAGCUUUUAAAGAACUUUGAACAUUGUUCUAAAUUCUAGACAUCCAGUUAUAUAGUAUUGUUUAAAUAUUCCCUGUGAAAUGUUUAACGGGGAGCCAAAAUGGCUGCCUUAGAAUCUUGUGGUGUCAUGUAAAUGCUACGUCAAUGUCCCAACUCUAAAUGUCUCUGAUGGCCACUAAUGGGAGUCUUGUUACAGUGUGUUCCCAGUCCUCACAUUGUUUCAAUAAACCACACAGGAGCAUCAAUCAAAGUGCAGUGUUAUUUUACCUUGUGUUAUUGGAAUCCCCGGCAACCCCGUAAUCUGAGCCCUUAGUGUGGUGGACGUGAAGAUAAAACAACUUAAUUUUGACCUCAACUUCUCUCGUACUGAAGGUCACUAAGGGCACAUCCAAAAUGGCACUCUAUUCGCUAUAUAGUGCACUACUUUUGAUCAGGACCCAGAUCAAAAGUAGUCCACUAUAUAGGGAAUAGUGUGCCAAGGACCUGGUCAAAAGUAGUCCACUAUAUAGGGAAUAGUGUGCCAAGGACCUGGUCAAAAGUAGUCCACUAAGUAGGGAAUAAGGUGCCAAGGACCUGGUCAAAAGUAGUCCACUAUAUAGGGAAUAGUGUGCCAAGGACCUGGUCAAAAGUAGUCCACUAUAUAGGGAAUAGUGUGCCAAGGACCUGGUCAAAAGUAGUCCACUAAGUAGAGAAUAGAGUGCCAAGGACCUGGUCAAAAGUAGUCCACUAAGUAGGGAAUAGGGUGCCAAGGACCUGGUCAAAAGUAGUCCACUAUGUAGGGAAUAGGGUGCCAAGGACCUGGUCAAAAGUAGUUCACUAUGUAGGGAAUAGGGUGCCAUGCAGGCUAUGCGUCUAUGAUUGACAGGUGAAGACACAGACACUGAUCUGUUGAAUCUGCUGUUGGUAGUGAUACCACACGGUGGCCCAGACCAGACUUCAUGGUUGACUGUAGUGUAAACAUCAUCUAUUCUAUUUAGAGAGAGAGCAGAUCCUGUAGAUUUCUCUUGGCGUCUAUGUGUGUGUGUGUGAGAGAGAGCGAGAACAGUAUGGGGCCCUGCCUGCUUAGUUAGCGUGUGGAUUAACCAGGAUCACAUUGGUAAUCUCUGAAGGCACAAAGUUACCCAGACAUCCCUGCUUGGCUGACCUCUGACCCCUGGAAAAUAAAGUAUGUGAACUCACAGAACCUGGCUGGGCCCUGUCCAGAAACAUCCCCUAACCCCUCUACCCAUGGCCUAACCACUUCAUGUAGUACUGGAUAGCUGUCAGCAGGUUGGUCUCAACCCUGACUUCCAUUUAUGUCACAUUUUCAUGUAGUCUCCCACUGACAUCAACACAUGACUGAGUUAUGGCCUAGGCCUCUGGGCUGUUUGUGUUGUUUCUGGGCAGGGCCCUGGAGAAGGCCUACUGUCUACUCUCUGUGGCCUAGGCCUCUGGGCUGUUUGUGUGUUUCUGGACAGGCCCUGGAGAAGGCCUACUGUCUACUCUGUGGCCUAGGCCUCUGGGCUGUUUGUGUGUUUCUGGACAGGGCCCUGGAGAAGGCCUACUGUCUACUCUCUGUGGCCUAGGCCUCUGGGCUGUUUGUGUGUUUCUGGACAGGGCCCUGGAGAAGGCCUACUGUCUACUCUCUGUGGCCUAGGCCUUUGGGCUGUUUGUGUGUUUCUGGACAGGCCCUGGAGAAGGCCUACUGUCUACUCUCUGUGGCCUAGGCCUCUGGGCUGUUUGUGUGUUUCUGGACAGGGCCCUGGAGAAGGCCUACUGUCUACUCUCUGUGGCCUAGGCCUUUGGGCUGUUUGUGUGUUUCUGGACAGGGCCCUGGAGAAGGCCUACUGUCUACUCUCUGUGGCCUAGGCCUCUGGGCUGUUUGUGUGUUUCUGGGCAGGGCCCUGGAGAAGGCCUACUGUCUACUCUCUGUGGCCUAGGCCUCUGGGCUGUUUGUGUGUUUCUGGGCAGGGCCCUGGAGAAGGCCUACUGUCUACUCUCUGUGGCCUAGGCCUCUGGGCUGUUUGUGUGUUUCUGGACAGGCCCUGGAGAAGGCCUACUGUCUACUCUCUGUGGCCUAGGCCUCUGGGCUGUUUGUGUGUUUCUGGACAGGCCCUGGAGAAGGCCUACUGUCUACUCUCUGUGGCCUAGGCCUCUGGGCUGUUUGUGUGUUUCUGGACAGGGCCCUGGAGAAGGCCUACUGUCUACUCUCUGUGGCCUAGGCCUCUGGGCUGUUUGUGUGUUUCUGGACAGGGCCCUGGAGAAGGCCUACUGUCUACUCUCUGUGGCCUAGGCCUUUGGGCUGUUUGUGUGUUUCUGGACAGGGCCCUGGAGAAGGCCUACUGUCUACUCUCUGUGGCCUAGGCCUCUGGGCUGUUUGUGUGUUUCUGGGCAGGGCCCUGGAGAAGGCCUACUGUCUACUCUCUGUGGCCUAGGCCUCUGGGCUGUUUGUGUGUUUCUGGACAGGGCCCUGGAGAAGGCCUACUGUCUACUCUCUGUGGCCUAGGCCUCUGGGCUGUUUGUGUGUUUCUGGACAGGGCCCUGGAGAAGGCCUACUGUCUACUCUGCCGACAUGGAGAAUGGAAUACUGCUCAUCUGAAACUGUCCCAAUGAAUGCAUCGACAUUGGGAUUUUAUAAUUUGUUGUUUCAAAGCAAAGUGUGUUUUGACUAUAAUGAUGAUCCAUGUGUGUGUUUUGACUAUAAUGAUGAUCCAUGUGUGUUUUGACUAUAAUGAUGAUGAAAAUGGAAUGGAAAUGCCUUGGUCAUAAUGACUAACACAUUUUAUUACGAUGGUUUGUAGAAAUAUACCCAUUGUAUAAAUGGAUAGAUUAACAGUGGGUCAAAUAAAGUGAUUUAAAGUUUAA